CAGCUGAUCCAGCAUGCCGCGUGAGUGAUGAAGGCCUUAGGGUUGUAAAGCUCUUCAUCCGGGAUGAUAAUGACGGUACCUGGAGAAUAAGCUCCGGCUAACUCCGUGCCAGCAGCCGCGGUAAUACGGAGGGAGCUAGCGUUGUUCGGAAUUACUGGGCGUAAAGCGCACGUAAGCGGUUACUCAAGUCAGAGGUGAAAGCCCGGGGCUCAACCCCGGAACUGCCUUUGAAACUAGGUAACUAGAAUCCUGGAGAGGUGAGUGGAAUUCCGAGUGUAGAGGUGAAAUUCAUAUAUAUUCGGAAGAACACCAUUGGCGAAGGCGGCUCACUGGACCGGUAUUGACGCUGAGGUGCGAAAGCGUGGGGAGCAAACAGGAUUAAAUACCCUGGUAGUCCACGCCGUAAACGAUGAUGACUAGCUGUCCGGGUUCAUGGAAUUUGGGUGGCGCAGCUAACGCAUUAAGUUAUCCGCCUGGGAAGUACGGUCGCAAAAUUAAAACUCU
Molecule: ribosomal RNA, 504 nt
Filed under: uncultured bacterium
Lineage: Bacteria
Description: bacterial SSU rRNA
Rfam family: Bacterial small subunit ribosomal RNA
Source: RNAcentral